UACAGAGGUCUCAAGCGUUGUUCGGAUUCAUUGGGCGUAAAGGGUGUGUAGGUGGCGCCGUAAGUCGGGUGUGAAAUUUCGGAGCUUAACUCCGAAACUGCAUUCGAUACUGCGGUGCUUGAGGACUGGAGAGGAGACUGGAAUUCAUGGUGUAGCAGUGAAAUACGUAGAGAUCAUGAGGAAGACCAGUGGCGAAGGCGGGUCUCUGGACAGUUCCUGACACUGAGGCACGAAGGUCAGGGGAGCAAACGGG
This 253-nucleotide ribosomal RNA is filed under the name uncultured bacterium. RNAcentral describes it as "partial 16S ribosomal RNA". It matches the Rfam family "Bacterial small subunit ribosomal RNA", at positions 524 to 776 of the family's 1533-position model. The record is from RNAcentral.